Molecule: small RNA, 27 nt
Filed under: Bombyx mori (domestic silkworm)
Lineage: Eukaryota; Metazoa; Arthropoda; Insecta; Lepidoptera; Bombycidae
Description: ovarian small RNA-23157
Source: RNAcentral
UAGUUGAAUUAAUGUAACCAGAUUUGA